Diospyros lotus (date-plum) is the source of this 93-nucleotide small nucleolar RNA. RefSeq annotates it as small nucleolar RNA snoR31. The transcript has a single exon. Lineage: Eukaryota; Viridiplantae; Streptophyta; Magnoliopsida; Ericales; Ebenaceae. The record is from RefSeq and is a predicted model, not a curated record.
UAGAUGAGGAUGAGGCAAUUUUAAAAUAAUCCAACACUUGAUCAGAGGCAUUUUCUGCCAAGUGAUGCUAUAGCUAAAUGCUUCUGAAUCUAA